Long non-coding RNA from Nanorana parkeri, 160 nucleotides. RefSeq lists it as uncharacterized. The transcript has 3 exons. NCBI's taxonomy places the organism in Eukaryota, Metazoa, Chordata, Amphibia, Anura, Dicroglossidae. The record is from RefSeq and is a predicted model, not a curated record.
GGGGCGGGCACAAGAAAUUCACGUGAUUAAUGGCGGACCGCGGUUUAGCACGACUGAGCGAAAAAGGCCGCGACCGGAACCGGAAGCUUAGAGGAACGGCUUCAAGAACGGUGUAGGCAGCUGAGUCGUGGCCGUAAGGGGUUCUCGAGUUCCCCCCUCC